RNAcentral lists this ribosomal RNA (509 nucleotides) under uncultured bacterium. RNAcentral describes it as "partial 16S ribosomal RNA". The stretch from base 20 to 330 matches the Rfam family "Bacterial small subunit ribosomal RNA", at positions 47 to 358 of the family's 1533-position model. The record is from RNAcentral.
GACGAACGCUGGCGGCGUGCUUAACACAUGCAAGUCGAACGGAAAGGCCCUGCUUUUGUGGGGUGCUCGAGUGGCGAACGGGUGAGUAACACGUGAGUAACCUGCCCUUGACUUUGGGAUAACUUCAGGAAACUGGGGCUAAUACCGGAUAGGAGCUCCUGCGGCAUGGUGGGGGUGGGAAAGUUUCGGCGGUUGGGGAUGGACCCGCGGCUUAUCGGCUUGUUGGUGGGGUAGUGGCUUACCAAGGCUUUGACGGGUAGCCGGCCUGAGAGGGUGACCGGCCAGAGUGAGGAGGAGAGCCGGCGCGGACCGAUGAGGGCGGACGGGGAGGGGACGAGUAGAAGGCGGGCGGAGGGCGGGGGAGGCGGGCGCGGGGGCAGGAGCCGCGGUCUCGGGGUGUAACCCGCGGUCGCCGGAGACGAAGCGGGGGUGCCGGAAAGGGGAAAAGAAGCACCGGCUAACCCCGUGCCCGCAGCCGCGCUAAGAAGCGGAAGACCACACGCCUGACC